This 497-nucleotide ribosomal RNA is filed under the name uncultured bacterium. RNAcentral describes it as "partial 16S ribosomal RNA". It matches the Rfam family "Bacterial small subunit ribosomal RNA", at positions 28 to 507 of the family's 1533-position model. The record is from RNAcentral.
GACGAACGCUGGCGGCGUGCCUAAUACAUGCAAGUUGAGCGCUGAAGGUUGGUACUUGUACCAACUGGAUGAGCAGCGAACGGGUGAGUAACGCGUGGGGAAUCUGCCUUUGAGCAGGGGACAACAUUUGGAAACGAAUGCUAAUACCGCAUAAAAACUUUAAACACAAGUUUUAAGUUUGAAAGAUGCAAUUGCAUCACUCAAAGACGAUCCCGCGUUGUAUUAGCUAGUUGGUGAGGUAAAGGCUCACCAAGGCGAUGAUACAUAGCCGACCUGAGAGGGUGAUCGGCCACAUUGGGACUGAGACACGGCCCAAACUCCUACGGGAGGCAGCAGUAGGGAAUCUUCGGCAAUGGACGAAAGUCUGACCGAGCAACGCCGCGUGAGUGAAGAAGGUUUUCGGAUCGUAAAACUCUGUUGGUAGAGAAGAACGUUGGUGAGAGUGGAAAGCUCAUCAAGUGACGGUAACUACCCAGAAAGGGACGGCUAACUACGUG